CCUACGGGGGGCAGCAGUGAGGAAUAUUGGUCAAUGGACGAGAGUCUGAACCAGCCAAGUAGCGUGAAGGAUGACUGCCCUAUGGGUUGUAAACUUCUUUUAUAUGGGAAUAAAAUGUUCCACGUGUGGGAUUUUGUAUGUACCAUAUGAAUAAGGAUCGGCUAACUCCGUGCCAGCAGCCGCGGUAAUACGGAGGAUCCGAGCGUUAUCCGGAUUUAUUGGGUUUAAAGGGAGCGUAGGUGGAUUGUUAAGUCAGUUGUGAAAGUUUGCGGCUCAACCGUAAAAUUGCAGUUGAAACUGGCAGUCUUGAGUACAGUAGAGGUGAGCGGAAUUCGUGGUGUAGCGGUGAAAUGCUUAGAUAUCACGAAGAACUCCGAUUGCGAAGGCAGUUCACUGGACUGCAACUGACGCUGAGGCUCGAAAGUGUGGGUAUCAAACAGGAUUAGAUACCCCUGUAGUC
This 460-nucleotide ribosomal RNA is filed under the name uncultured bacterium. RNAcentral's name for it is "partial 16S ribosomal RNA". It matches the Rfam family "Bacterial small subunit ribosomal RNA", at positions 338 to 795 of the family's 1533-position model. The record is from RNAcentral.